GUCCCGAUCCAGCUUUUUGCACUUCCGAUCCGAUACGAUAUUGUAGCUUUUAGCAUCGGCCGAUACCGUUACCGGCCGAUCCAAGCAUGUAUUAAAGAUUAAAGAUAUUUACUUAUUUUGUUGUACUACUCAUGUUGAAAAGGGUUUUACUCUUCAGAACAACUAGCCAACUUAAUUAGGUUAGUUUGAAUAAUCCACAAUAGUUGGUAAUGAGAAGCUGACCUGUUUAUUCAGGGUUAAAUAAACACAAAAUAGACAAAAUAAUAAAUAUUCAAAUUACCACACACACACUGAAUUGGCAUCAGUGCUCUGUUCUUGAACAACAAGAGUGUAAACAAUAUUGUAAACAAUAUAACAUUAUAUAUAAAAGCAACACACACAAAACCUGAGUAGAAAAUAGUCAAAUUACCACACACACACUGAAUUGGCAUUUUUAUCGAUAACUUUAAAUCCUUAGUGGGACAUGCACAGACAAGUGGGAUGCUGGACAGGUCACUAGGUGUGCGCUAGGUGUGCUGAACAACGCGGACCGGAUUUGGGGGGAAAAGCUGAAAAAAACUGGAAUGCAUUACCUACAUUGGUGCGCUCGAAAACACGGACCGGAGUUUUGAAAACAAACUGGAUCGGGAGUCCGGAUCGGGAUUUUCCCGUGCAGGCCGAUCCGAUAUUGAUAUGCAUUUAUUUGCUAAUAUCGGCGGCCGAUCCGAUCCAAAUAUCGGAUCGGGACAUCCCUAGUCCAUAUUAUAUCCAUUAUAUUGACCGGGUAUUCCCAAGACGCUCACGCUCUGCAGCAAGCCAGUCACAGUUGAUUGGCGCGGCGCUGUACAGCGAACGUAAACAAACAACUAAGCUAAGGUUAGCAUUUAACUAAGCAUUUCUUUAUUCUCCCGAGAUCCCGCUAAUGUUGUUAUAAAGUAAAGGGAAACAAGAUACCUAUUCUUCCUCCACCUCUCUCGCUUCUCUGCUUGGUGUCGCUUAUAGUUUGCCUCCCUCGCUCUGGUAACGUCACGUACGUGAAACAACGAAGCUCCGAAUACUGAUUUACGCUUCGAAUACUAAUUUUCCGAACGAGUAUUCGAAUAUUCGAAUAAUUCGGGCCAGCCCUAAUCGCCACACACUUCGCGAUUUGACUGUUUUCAGUAGGCUACACUUAUUUUCCCCCGAUCUGAAUCGGAACGCCCUACGUACUCAAACUUAGACUAGUAAGUACGGAUAGCAUGGAUAUUGGAACACGGCGAUGUAAUCAUGAAGCGGACGAGGCCACGGCGAAGUCUGGUGUGGGACCAUUAUGAUUUAAAAAAUGACUUCUUGGGGAGCACUAUAGGCCUACCACUCAAGGCGAGGUUAGCAUCGAAGCAGAAAUUAAGAACUUUCUGAGCCCCUGGAUUGUGGAAAGUUGUUCCCCCGCCUUGCCCAAUUCUUUUCACUAAAUUUCCGAUUUAGAUCGAUUUACAUAAUAAGGCAUUAUGGCAGGCCCUGCCAUUGUAAUUAGUGUAACAUAACAUAAAAUGUAAAAUAUAUAAAAUAUAAAAUAAAAUAUUUCUGUAAACAUAAAAUAUUACUAAGGAUAAGAGGUAGUUCUGAUAAAGUGCCAACAUAACAUUCAAACUUUUCAUUCAAACAUGUGUUCAUAAAUAUACAGUGUUUUGCAAAUGGUCAUUACAUUUAAAAAAAGGAAUAGUAACAGGAGAAGAAUGAGAAAAACACACACGCAGCUCUUUCCUUCACUCGUCUGUAUUGAAUGAGGAAGAGGAGCGCGAUCCCCCUACUGGAGCCCAGAGGCAUUACCAACAGAUCGACGAAUUACCAACAGAUCGACGAAUUAUUAAACCACACAGAUAUAUUUCAAAUGAAUUAUGUUUACCUCAAAUUAGAUUAUACAUGUAUGAAUAAAUUGUUGUCACACUCGCUGCCAUGUUUGUGCAUCACUUUGGUAAAUGCGUGCUCUGUGCGGGGGGAGGUCUGAGCCCAUUCCGAACUACGGGAGCUGAGAGGGAAGCGUUGGCGGAUGUUGAAGAGAAAACCGAUUUUCAUUUAAACAAGUCGACGUGAGCUACACACUCAAGUUAAUCGAUAAAAUCGGUUUAUCGCCCAGCUCUACAUCACAGCAACGUCGGUCCCCUCAGAGCGGGUGUUUUCGGCGGCUGGACUGACGGUCACCAGGCUGCGGUCGCGUCUGACCCCAGAGCAUGUCAACAUGGUCAUCUUUCUGAACAAAAAUCUGUAGACUGGUUGGUUAAGUUAUAACUUGAUUGUUUUUUUGAUAUUAUUAUUAUUAUUUGGGGAAGAAACUAGGGUUGUGUUUAUUUUUCGUUAUGUUUAUGAGCACCGGCUUCGAGCUGCAUGCUCCAUUGCUUAGAGCAGAGUAGCGCAUAACUAUUGAACGGAUCUGGUUUAACUGAGUUGUUCAUCUAAUAAUAAAGAUCCCAAUGAGGAAAACACGCUGCAUUUGUAUUUUCAUUUCAUUUUGAAUAUAUAUUUUUUAAAUUUUAAUGUAAAAUAUUAACGAUUAAUCGACUAAUUGAUCGUUAAUUCCCCCGACGAUCGACUAAGACAACCUAAUCGAAUGCCCAUCCCUACUUUGAAUAGCUACCUGACUGCUGCUUAUCCCCAGACUUUUAAAGUUCCAUUCAAGUUAUUUCAGAGUAUAAUGAAUACAGUUAAGACAGACCUUACAUUACCUAUAUCAGGGGUGUCAAACUCAUUUUCACAAAGGGCCACUCUAUGAUGAAAUGAUAAUCACACUAAGGGCCGGCAUGGAGUUUACUGACAUGCCUUCUUUUUAAUCCAAAUAGUAAAAACAACAUAUCUAUGAAUAUAUUGUAUACAACCUGCGUACAGGGUCA
This is a long non-coding RNA of Gadus macrocephalus (Pacific cod), 2846 nucleotides long. RefSeq lists it as uncharacterized. The transcript has 2 exons. Lineage: Eukaryota; Metazoa; Chordata; Actinopteri; Gadiformes; Gadidae. The record is from RefSeq and is a predicted model, not a curated record.